AGGACGAACGCUGGCGGCGUGCUUAACACAUGCAAGUCGAGCGGAAAGGCCCUUCGGGGUACUCGAGCGGCGAACGGGUGAGUAACACGUGAGCAACCUGCCCUUAGCUCCGGGAUAGCUCCGGGAAACCGGAAUUAAAUACCGGAUACGACCACCUUAGACAUCUUUUGUGGUGGAAAGAAUUUCGGCUAGGGAUGAGCUCGCGGCCUAUCAGCUUGUUGGUGGGGUAACGGCCUACCAAGGCGACGACGGGUAG
Molecule: ribosomal RNA, 256 nt
Filed under: uncultured bacterium
Lineage: Bacteria
Description: partial small subunit ribosomal RNA
Rfam family: Bacterial small subunit ribosomal RNA
Source: RNAcentral